UGCCCAGCAACUCCUAUCCCUACCUCCUCGUGGUACUGGCCGGGGUACGAUUAACUUUGGGGAAGAUCGGGUAUCCAACCCCGGUGGGAACUUUGGUCGUAUGCUGACAGGGAAGG
This 116-nucleotide ribozyme is filed under the name Aedes aegypti (yellow fever mosquito). RNAcentral's name for it is "drz-agam-1 ribozyme". It matches the Rfam family "drz-agam-1 ribozyme". The record is from Rfam by way of RNAcentral. Lineage: Eukaryota; Metazoa; Arthropoda; Insecta; Diptera; Culicidae.